AUUGAACGCUGGCGGCAGGCCUAACACAUGCAAGUCGAGCGGAUGAAGGGAGCUUGCUCCUGGAUUCAGCGGCGGACGGGUGAGUAAUGCCUAGGAAUCUGCCUGGUAGUGGGGGAUAACGUCCGGAAACGGGCGCUAAUACCGCAUACGUCCUGAGGCAGAAAGUGGGGGAUCUUCGGACCUCACGCUAUCAGAUGAGCCUAGGUCGGAUUAGCUAGUUGGUGGGGUAAAGGCCUACCAAGGCGACGAUCCGUAACUGGUCUGAGAGGAUGAUCAGUCACACUGGAACUGAGACACGGUCCAGACUCCUCCGGGAGGCAGCGGUGGGGAAUAUUGGACAAUGGGCGAAAGCCUGGUGCAGCCAUGCCGCGUGUGUGAAGAAGGUCUUCGGAUUGUAAAGCACUUUAAGUUGGGAGGAAGGGCAGUAAGUUAAUACCUUGCUGUUUUGACGUUACCAACAGAAUAAGCACCGGCUAACUUCGUG
RNAcentral lists this ribosomal RNA (484 nucleotides) under uncultured bacterium. RNAcentral's name for it is "partial 16S ribosomal RNA". It matches the Rfam family "Bacterial small subunit ribosomal RNA", at positions 30 to 507 of the family's 1533-position model. The record is from RNAcentral.